Molecule: long non-coding RNA, 330 nt
Filed under: Phoenix dactylifera (date palm)
Lineage: Eukaryota; Viridiplantae; Streptophyta; Magnoliopsida; Arecales; Arecaceae
Description: long non-coding RNA (PDAC_LNC022620)
Source: RNAcentral
CAAACAAUUGAUUGCAUGAUAUGAAGGCUUAUAUAAUUUCAAAUGAAAGGAGGAGCCUUAACUCCAAAAUUUAUUGUUUCACACCUUUCAAGAUUGAAUAAAUCAAAUAACCAGACACUUGAAUUCAUUUAUGGAUUUUAUUUUCUUGUUUAUUGAGCAAUUCACUUUACAUAUACUCAAUGUUUUGUCAUCAUCAAAAAGGGGGAGAUUAUGGAGUGAUUGAUCAUAACCCUAUUUGAUUUUGAUGAGCUCAAAGCAUCUGAGUAUAUCUCUUGUUUACUAAUGAAUUCAAUUGAGUGUUUCAGUGAAAAUCUUAUCUAAAGUGUUUCU